RNAcentral lists this ribosomal RNA (500 nucleotides) under uncultured bacterium. RNAcentral's name for it is "partial 16S ribosomal RNA". It matches the Rfam family "Bacterial small subunit ribosomal RNA", at positions 30 to 523 of the family's 1533-position model. The record is from RNAcentral.
AUUGAACGCUGGCGGCAGGCCUAACACAUGCAAGUCGAGCGGAUGAAGAGAGCUUGCUCUCUGAUUUAGCGGCGGACGGGUGUGUAAUGCCUAGGAAUCUGCCUGGUAGUGGGGGAUAACGUUCCGAAAGGGACGCUAAUACCGCGUACGUCCUACGGGAGAAAGCAGGGGACCUUCGGGCCUUGCGCUAUCAGAUGAGCCUAGGUCGGAUUAGCUAGUUGGUGAGGUAAUGGCUCACCAAGGCGACGAUCCGUAACUGGUCUGAGAGGAUGAUCAGUCACACUGGAACUGAGACACGGUCCAGACUCCUACGGGAGGCAGCAGUGGGGAAUAUUGGACAAUGGGCGAAAGCCUGAUCCAGCCAUGCCGCGUGUGUGAAGAAGGUCUUCGGAUUGUAAAGCACUUUAAGUUGGGAGGAAGGGCAGUAAGUUAAUACCUUGCUGUUUUGACGUUACCGACAGAAUAAGCACCGGCUAACUUCGUGCCAGCAGCCGCAGUAA